GAAGGAGGGAGUAAGCAGAGUCGUCGUGCUUGGGACCGGCGGCGGGGUGGGCGUAGGCAGGAGGUAGGGACGUUGUCGCAGAGGUACCUGCAGUCGUCGUCGUCGCAGAGGUACCUGCGCCGCCGCACUGCCGAGCGGCCCCACCUAGGGGAGGAGGCGGGGGUAGGAGGUGGAGAGGCCGGCCGGUCAACGUUGCCAACCUCCGUAACCACACUCCCACAACACGACUGCACGAGGAGGUACAGAGCACGCUCAAGAACCACAGCGCUAGUACCGAGGUCUCUCGUCGCGAAGUUCCAGUGAAUUCGAACUUACCCAAUAGUUCAGAUGACCUUGGUAAGUACAAAUCCGAACAAGUAACCAAAAUCUUGUCUGUGAGGGAAUUCAUACAAAUUAGUGUUAAUUUUCCUCCUUCGGUUUAAUAACGUUACACACCGACGUCCAUUUCAACAGUUCAACUAGACCACGAACGAACUCGGCAACUAAUGACGACGAAACGAUUCCAAGUUGCAGAAUGAUGUACUCUUUAAAUAAGGUUACGAAAGAGUUAGGGAAAUGGUACUACUGAUGGUCUCCUUGGAAGUUACACAUAUCUACCACUACCUAUACCCCUGUGUGUUCUUGAUCGCUUGAAUUAUGGUCUACGGGAGUUGAUACUUAAGAAAUUAAUAACCUCCGAAAGUAUAAGUAUAGUUAUGUUCCACCCUAUACUACGUCAAACGUCACACUAAAAGGCACUAAGGCCUAGCCCGCGUGGAGCAGCAGCACCUCUCGUACUCACCGACCCAGACGUACCAGUCACCUCUACUCCAAGAAAACCUAAUUACGAAGACGGACUACUCAAGGAGGGGAAAAUACAGCGUCCGACAUUCUAGAGACGUACAACAACGAACGAACAAGACGGUCACCAAAACAAGUGAAGGAAAAGAUAAAUAGAUGACGUAAGAAAAGAAAGGAUACACAACAGUACCUAUAAUCAAAGCUAACACAAAUAUAAGUCCUAAACCGUGUCUCAAAACAAGAUAAAACCGAGUACGAACGGCGAACACACUAACUUGUAUACCACAAAACAGAUGAAUUGGUAAACACACAUCAUCAUAAGUAAAAUAGGAACUAGUACACGCAUACAUGAUGACUUCAUCAAAAUUAACUAUAUUUUCAAAAGUACAUAACGUCGAUAAACUGAAACUCGUUGGUGUUAGAUGUUCCUUGCAAUCCUCAUUUAAUAUUAAAAGGUAGAGCUUUCGCAAAACAUACGUCUUAACCAAUCGUAAUAGAGAUCUAUGUGGCAAAUGAUAAUUCAUCUAUUAAAUGUACAACAGCACCUGAUUUCCACCACUAUAUAUGAAUAUACGGGUAAGUGUUGACGAUAAUAAAUUAUACAAAGGGAAACCCGUAGAUGUUACGAUCCUCGAAUGUAUCCGCGAAUGCUUGUUUUAUUAUUUUAGACUUCUUGUGGAUUCGCGGAGUAGGGAGUUGCGAUCUGCGAUUAAUUGAUUUGUUGCAUCUACGAUUCACUACCUUCUUUUUACCGGUUCGCGGCCCACGCACUAAACCGCAGCUGCGGUCCCAACUGCGGUCCUAAUAUCGGCCGUUGGCGAUUAGACGACCCUAAUGCUCGGACCGCGGCCCCGAUUCGCGGGUCACUACCUCUACGGGAAUAUAGUAACGCUUCAACUUUAUAACAAAAAGGACCAGAAGAUCCAAGUGUAUCAGGAGUUCUCAUAGGAAGAUACAACACUAAGAUUUUUAUAAAACUCAAUAAAGUAAAACUGAUGAAGUACGAACUUGAACCUUAACAACCGAUUCGUCAAGAACUUUAAACUUCCCUCGCACACAUUCAGACAUCAUUAACCGUCACGUUUGUACUAGUCGGAUAACUACUACAUCAUGAAUUAUACUAGUAAUAGACCAAAUGAACAACAUAAAAUAACGCGUAUCAUCUGGUGGUACGUAGUGGUUGGUCCAUUUUUACAAUGUAGUCCCCCGAAAGUACUCGAUUAACGUGUUAAGAAAUUCGAUACGAGACUUGCAAUCACCGGAAUAAGUUCGAAACAUCCAACGUCACAUUACACUUCUAAGGUUGCCUAUAGUUCGAAAUUUAACCCUAGUAAACGUUUCGCCUUUAUAUCUCUAGCUGUAGACUACCCUUCCUUGUACAGCUUAUAUUACCGGUUUGUUCCUUCCCUGUACUCCGACAUUAUAGUAAAAGCAAGAGUAAAGAACAUCCUUCAGUGUUGAUCCUCACUACCACCUUUAUAUUGACGGUCAAUCAUGGAAAUACAAAAAGAUUUUCUUGACACUCGAUGGCAAUCAAAGAAAAGGACCAAGCAUUAGUCAUAUAUGUCAAUGGUGUGUUAGUACUAGUAGUUACAAGUGUUGACAGACUUAGCACACUAAGUUUCGUCUUGGGUAUACUAACGGUGAGUACGUACAUUACACAAUAGACGUCAUAUAGAGUUAAAACUUACACUGUACAGUACAUACAUACAAUUGAAGUCUAAAAACAGUUGGAGAAA
Molecule: ribosomal RNA, 2519 nt
Filed under: Triticum aestivum (bread wheat)
Lineage: Eukaryota; Viridiplantae; Streptophyta; Magnoliopsida; Poales; Poaceae
Description: partial small subunit ribosomal RNA
Source: RNAcentral